Molecule: small nuclear RNA, 107 nt
Organism: Jaculus jaculus (lesser Egyptian jerboa)
Lineage: Eukaryota; Metazoa; Chordata; Mammalia; Rodentia; Dipodidae
Source: Ensembl
GUAGAUGCUUCAGCUGUACAUAUGGUAAAACUGUAAGAAUAAAGAAAAAAUGAGCAUGGCACCUGUGCAAGGAUGACAUGCAAAUUUGUGAAGCAGUCCAUAUUUUA